AAUCAACGCUGGCGGCGCGCUUAACACAUGCAAGUCGCACGAGAAAGUGGAGCAAUCCAUGAGUACAGUGGCGUACGGGUGAGUAACACGUGGGUAAUCUACCUCUUAGUGGGGAAUAACUCUGGGAAACCGGAGCUAAUACCGCAUAAGCCUGGAAAGGGAAAGCAGCAAUGCGCUGAGAGAGGAGCCCGCGGCCGAUUAGCUAGUUGGUAGGGUAAAAGCCACCAAGGCAAUGAUCGGUAGCCGGCCUGAGAGGGCACACGGCCACACUGGCACUGAAACACGGGCCAGACUCCUACGGGAGGCAGCAGUGGGGAAUCUUGCACAAUGGGGGCAACCCUGAUGCAGCGACGCCG
Molecule: ribosomal RNA, 356 nt
Filed under: uncultured bacterium
Lineage: Bacteria
Description: bacterial SSU rRNA
Rfam family: Bacterial small subunit ribosomal RNA
Source: RNAcentral